AUUUUGGGCUAAUGGUGCAUUAGCACUGAAGCUUCUCUACUACACGCUGAGCAGUUUGCAGAAUGGUUGGAGCUGCUCAUGGGACGGCUGGCAGAGCAGAGCGGCUGAUAGAGUGGAGCCGUUUGUGGGAUGGCUGGUGGACUGGAGUGGAGCAGAGCCCCAUGGAGAGGAGCAGGGGGUGUUCCAAAGGCUGCAGAGACGCUUGAAUGGAUCCUCACAGCUGCUCCCGCCCAGUGAGAGAGGAAAUCCAUGGGAGAAGGGAAGACAAUGUCUCACUCUCAGACCAAGCCUUUGAAGCUCCACCCUGGUGAAAGACCCUUGACUGCUCAUCACCCGUAGCAUGAAGACAAGAUGAGAGGCCUCUAGCGGGUACAAGAGUGACUCAGAGAUUCCUGGGUACGCUUGUUCUGGGCCACAGUGCUUGUUAUGAACUAGAAACCACAGACAACCACCUGGGAGGGGUGUGAAGGCCUGGUCACUGGCCAGAGCCUUUCGAGGAGUGAGGUGAUCUCUGGGAAGCUUAGCAGUGUGUGGGUAGGUUCUUCAUACAAAGGAAGCUCUUUUCAGGUUCCUGCUCCCGGAUAACGUACAUGCCGCCGCUCCCAUAUCCGGUCAUCUUCAUUGUCUCUUCCAAAAAAAAAAGCAAUCAACCAAACACCAGUCAGUCCCUCCCCCCAGCUCCCCUUACCAAGUCCCACAGAAACUCCCCUGUGUGCAGCUGCUUGCUAGCUCCCGUGCUGAGACUUUUAGACUUCAUCAUGUAAAGCAGACGAGAGUACAAUCAUACAAAACAAUAAAAACUAAAUCUGGGUCCCUGCCUCAGUUUCCUCAUCACUCCAGGGGAUUCUCUGUGCUGGGUCCAAGACCCCUGAUUAGGCAGUGUCCUGGGCCAAAGUAGCCAGCUCCUCCCCCCACACUCCUCAUGAGGCUUCUACAUGUUAGGUGGCCUCUCUCCUGGACCCUUCAUCCAGCUUCUGUGACCUUGCUCUCUCUCCCACCCUCACCCCUCACUUCCUCUUCCUGUCCCUGUUCCUGUGUGUUUCUUUAUUUUAAGCCCCCGCGUUCUCAUCUGGUCCCUUUUGUUUUUCUCCUUAUAAGGUUCCACGGCUCCUGCUUUCCCUGCUCCCUUCAGGAGCCAUCUGCACGUGUUUGCGAAGGGUGCAGCUCACCCAU
Chelonia mydas (Green sea turtle) is the source of this 1173-nucleotide long non-coding RNA. RefSeq lists it as uncharacterized. NCBI's taxonomy places the organism in Eukaryota, Metazoa, Chordata, Testudines, Cheloniidae. The transcript is spliced from 4 exons. The record is from RefSeq and is a predicted model, not a curated record.